RNAcentral lists this ribosomal RNA (111 nucleotides) under Acholeplasmataceae bacterium. Lineage: Bacteria; Bacillati; Mycoplasmatota; Mollicutes; Acholeplasmatales; Acholeplasmataceae. The record is from RNAcentral.
UGUGGUGACUAUAGCGAAAUGGAUACACCUGUUCCCAUCUCGAACACAGAAGUUAAGCAUUUCAACGCCGAGGAUAGUAGGUUCGCCUGCGAAAGUAGGUAGUCGCCAAGC